Molecule: long non-coding RNA, 216 nt
Filed under: Elaeis guineensis (African oil palm)
Lineage: Eukaryota; Viridiplantae; Streptophyta; Magnoliopsida; Arecales; Arecaceae
Description: long non-coding RNA (EGUI_LNC021079)
Source: RNAcentral
AUGAGCGCAAAAGUAGAGAUACGGCCAAAUCUAGAGAGUGAUAGCAAAGAGCACCACUUGCGGACCAUUUAGUACAGGAUUAUCACACUUGAAAAAUUUUAUAAAGUAUUGGUUUUGCUGGUUUCUCUGAUGAGGUUUAAAUGAUUACGAAUUUAAAAUAAUCAGGUAAUCACAAGUGGCAUUGUUAUGGUAGCAUUGUCAAAGCUUAAAGCACGC